UACAUAGGCAUCUUUCUACACCUAGAUGCAAUUAAGGCAUUUACAAGAUUAUUCCAAGCCCUAAUUAACACCGAAUUUGAGCCUGGAAAUAGGCCCUGAGGGCCCUUGCACGCUGCGUACUGUGCGAGGAGGCAUCUUGCUGCGUCUGUGCAUUAAGCGAUUGGUGCUGGCAUGGGUGGGAGAUAGCGCGCGGCGGGUACCGAGGCUUCCUGCAGCGCAGGAAUAGCGAAACGCGAUUUCUUCUGCCCCCUUCUCCCCUCGCUUUGUGGCUUUCACGUUUUURCAAUGGAGAGAAAAAAAUAAAGCUUUUUCCCCCCCUUUCUAUCUACUGUGCUGUGGAAUGUGUUUCCGUGGGGCUGCGCUCCUGGGCAGGUCACGGGAGCUGCAGAUCCGGGGCCGCAGCAGGAGCUGCAGCAGCAGCUGAAUAACACUAUUGUAUAGAUAUAGUGAUAUAGUGAUCUACUGAUACGUAGAUAUAUAGAUWAAUAGAUAUAUAUAGCCAUCUUUCUCUCUCUCUAUGGAUAUAGAUAGACAAAUAUAUGUAUACAUAUCUAUAUAUGCACAUACACCUCUCUCUAUCUAUCUAUCCCUAUUAGAUCUAUACCAUAGAGUAUUUUCAUAUACCAUAUAGGUAUAUAGAGGUAUAUGCAGUGUGUGCAUGCAUACUUGGUAUGCCCGAUAUGCCUAUAUAUAAGUAUACACACACACAUAUAUAWAAGUAUACACAUAUAAACUAUUUACAUGCAUCAAAUAUAUAUGCAGGUUGGGGGUAUGUGAAUGUAUAUGCAGGUAUUUAUGGGCAGUUUGGGAGCACAAAGGCUUUGGAUUAGCAGAAAAAGGUUUUUCUUCUCGCGAGGAGCCAAAUACCCCCCAAACCGGGCAAUUUUCCACCAAAAUCAAUGCCAGCAGCCAAGCUGAUAAAUAAUAUAUAUAUUUUUUUCCUCUCUUUUUGCUCAUUUUUCUGCGUUCCUCGCCGCCCCGCUGCCCUUUCCAGCGGGUUUCCCUGAGCUUUAGGGAGGUUUUCGUGUUUUAACCCUCCUGGCAGCGGCCGGGCGACGUCUUCGGCGGCCGCGUCGGGUCGUUUCCCGUCGAAACCUUGCGCUGGGCGCGAACCCAAAUCCGCCGGCUGCGGCCGCGGCUCAGAGACGGAAAGCGGCUUUUCGGCAAACCCACUUGUACUCGGCGCUGCAGACCUCGGUGUGCGGCCGGCGCCCCUUGAGCACCCAGCAGCCCUUCGGGGCGGCCUCCAGCCUGCGGGGCAAAAAGGGGGGGGAAUAAAUAAAAAUAAGCAAUUAAG
This 1297-nucleotide long non-coding RNA is filed under the name Dromaius novaehollandiae (emu). RNAcentral's name for it is "lncRNA (ENSDNVG00000011411.1)". The record is from RNAcentral. Lineage: Eukaryota; Metazoa; Chordata; Aves; Casuariiformes; Dromaiidae.